GCCCGGGUCGCCUAAUCUGGCUAUGGCGCCAGCCUGGAGAGCUGGUGGGGCUCUUGCCCCGUGUGGGUUCGAAUCCCACCCCGGGCG
Molecule: transfer RNA, 87 nt
Rfam family: tRNA
About the family: Transfer RNA (tRNA) molecules are approximately 80 nucleotides in length. Their secondary structure includes four short double-helical elements and three loops (D, anti-codon, and T loops).